RNAcentral lists this unclassified non-coding RNA (492 nucleotides) under Hevea brasiliensis (rubber tree). The record is from RNAcentral. Lineage: Eukaryota; Viridiplantae; Streptophyta; Magnoliopsida; Malpighiales; Euphorbiaceae.
ACACACACACACACACGCACGCACGCACGCGCGCACUUGUUUGUCUGUUUACACAAUAAUAUAACUCCAACCUCUGAAUUACGAAGCACUUUUUAAUUAAUUACCACUGUUGACCUCAAAUGGCUGGCCACUGACCGCAAAUGGUUAGCUACAACCACUGAACCAAAUAGGCCCUUAAUUGUACGUUCAGAGCUUUGUGUCAUUUUGAAGAAGAAAUUAAUGUAAUUUACUACAGGCAAUGGAUGUCAGCUAAUCCCUAUUCCUAUUGGGUGAUGCUUUGUUGGCUUUGAUUUUCUUAAAAGAAAUCUUAUUACUAUUAUGUUUUUGAGGUUGAUUCUUCAAUGGUACUAGAAUUUAUCCCUUUUUUUCCGAGAGAGAAUUGAGGAUGCAAUUGCUCUAGUUAUUUUCCUGUCAGAACAACAUUCUAAUGCAAUCUGUCCUGACACAAACUUUGCUGCAUUUUGUUAUAGAUCUUGAUGUGCAUUGCACAGG